GAUAGGUGGCUUUGAAUAUGUGAUUUAAUGCAAUAGUCCAAUUGUUUUCCUUGCUUUGGAGUAAGAAGAAUUCCAACUAUUUUCGACACAUGCAAAAAAAAAUUGUCAUUACGCCUUCUCCUCUUAAUGCAAUUUUAUAAACAAGUAGGGUUUGGCCCGCCCUACGGACGGGUGAAUAAACUUUAUAUAUUAGAAAAGUUAUAAAAUGAUUAUUUAUUUAUUUAUUUAUUUUUGGAGUUGGCUAUCCAUCACUUUGUCAAUUUUUUGAGUUUAGUGAUCUAAAAAGAAAAAAAAAUAGAAUUGACUCCUUUUUCAUUUUUUCUUGUGCUUUAUUCAAUACAACGUGAGA
This 349-nucleotide long non-coding RNA is filed under the name Brassica napus (rape). RNAcentral's name for it is "long non-coding RNA (BNAP_LNC011969)". The record is from RNAcentral. Lineage: Eukaryota; Viridiplantae; Streptophyta; Magnoliopsida; Brassicales; Brassicaceae.